This 589-nucleotide ribosomal RNA is filed under the name Ochrobactrum sp. M3. RNAcentral describes it as "bacterial SSU rRNA". It matches the Rfam family "Bacterial small subunit ribosomal RNA", at positions 8 to 645 of the family's 1533-position model. The record is from RNAcentral. Lineage: Bacteria; Pseudomonadati; Pseudomonadota; Alphaproteobacteria; Hyphomicrobiales; Brucellaceae.
AGAGUUUGAUCAUGGCUCAGAACGAACGCUGGCGGCAGGCUUAACACAUGCAAGUCGAGCGCCCCGCAAGGGGAGCGGCAGACGGGUGAGUAACGCGUGGGAACGUACCUUUUGCUACGGAAUAACUCAGGGAAACUUGUGCUAAUACCGUAUGUGCCCUUCGGGGGAAAGAUUUAUCGGCAAAGGAUCGGCCCGCGUUGGAUUAGCUAGUUGGUGAGGUAAAGGCUCACCAAGGCGACGAUCCAUAGCUGGUCUGAGAGGAUGAUCAGCCACACUGGGACUGAGACACGGCCCAGACUCCUACGGGAGGCAGCAGUGGGGAAUAUUGGACAAUGGGCGCAAGCCUGAUCCAGCCAUGCCGCGUGAGUGAUGAAGGCCCUAGGGUUGUAAAGCUCUUUCACCGGUGAAGAUAAUGACGGUAACCGGAGAAGAAGCCCCGGCUAACUUCGUGCCAGCAGCCGCGGUAAUACGAAGGGGGCUAGCGUUGUUCGGAUUUACUGGGCGUAAAGCGCACGUAGGCGGACUUUUAAGUCAGGGGUGAAAUCCCGGGGCUCAACCCCCGGACUGCCUUUGAUACUGGAAGUCUUGA